Molecule: ribosomal RNA, 264 nt
Filed under: uncultured bacterium
Lineage: Bacteria
Description: partial 16S ribosomal RNA
Rfam family: Bacterial small subunit ribosomal RNA
Source: RNAcentral
GUCCUAGCCGUAAACGAUGGACACUAGGUGUUGGUGGUAUCAACCCCGCCAGUGCCGAAGCUAACGCAUUAAGUGUCCCGCCUGGGGGAGUACGGCCGCAAGGCUAAACUCAAAGGAAUUGACGGGGCCCGCACAAGCAGCGGAGCGUGGGGUUUAAUUCGACGCAACGCGAAGAACCUUACCAAGGCUUGACAUGACCAGGACAGCGGCGGAAACGUCGUCUUCCCGCAAGGGACCUGGCCACAGGUGUUGCAUGGCUGUCGU